This 253-nucleotide ribosomal RNA is filed under the name uncultured bacterium. Its description in RNAcentral is "partial 16S ribosomal RNA". It matches the Rfam family "Bacterial small subunit ribosomal RNA", at positions 524 to 776 of the family's 1533-position model. The record is from RNAcentral.
UACAGAGGUCUCAAGCGUUGUUCGGAUUCAUUGGGCGUAAAGGGUGCGCAGGCGGUCGGGUGUGUCAGAUGUGAAAUCCCGAGGCUCAACCUCGGAACUGCGUCUGAAACUACUCGACUAGAGUACUGGAGAGGGUAACGGAAUUCACGGUGUAGCAGUGAAAUGCGUAGAUAUCUGGAGGAACACCGGUGGCGAAGGCGGCAUUCUGGACUGCAACUGACACUGAAAGACGAAAGCCAGGGGAGCAAACGGG